Molecule: ribosomal RNA, 450 nt
Filed under: Streptomyces sp. HVXM-7-3
Lineage: Bacteria; Bacillati; Actinomycetota; Actinomycetes; Kitasatosporales; Streptomycetaceae
Description: bacterial SSU rRNA
Rfam family: Bacterial small subunit ribosomal RNA
Source: RNAcentral
GUCGAACGAUGAACCACUUCGGUGGGGAUUAGUGGCGAACGGGUGAGUAACACGUGGGCAAUCUGCCCUUCACUCUGGGACAAGCCCUGGAAACGGGGUCUAAUACCGGAUAUCACUCCCGCAGGCAUCUGCGGGUGUCGAAAGCUCCGGCGGUGAAGGAUGAGCCCGCGGCCUAUCAGCUUGUUGGUGAGGUAAUGGCUCACCAAGGCGACGACGGGUAGCCGGCCUGAGAGGGCGACCGGCCACACUGGGACUGAGACACGGCCCAGACUCCUACGGGAGGCAGCAGUGGGGAAUAUUGCACAAUGGGCGAAAGCCUGAUGCAGCGACGCCGCGUGAGGGAUGACGGCCUUCGGGUUGUAAACCUCUUUCAGCAGGGAAGAAGCGAAAGUGACGGUACCUGCAGAAGAAGCGCCGGCUAACUACGUGCCAGCAGCCCCGGGUAAUUCA